AGCAAGUGCACAUAGGUUUUGAGGCAAAAUAUGGUACAUAAGAAAAAUAUAACAAAUUUAUAACAAGACAUAAUGAGCAUUUAUCAUAUUAAUUUAUUAUAAUCAUGGAAAAAAAUUGAACUAAUUAUUUUAAGCCCGAUUGAAGGUCGACAGAAUAUCAGGACACCAUACCACAAAAUACUAUUAUACUAAGUUGCAAGAUAUUGUGCAAAAUAUAUUCCACAAUUGUAUGUUUUUUUGUAAAUGGCAUUAAGUCGUGCAUGGUACCACUUCAAACGCAAUUUUAUAUCUGUAACAUUUCCCAUUAUUUCGAUUUCUUCAAUCUACGCUGAUUACAAUCGGACAUUAAAUUGGAAAAAAACACAAAAUCAAGAAGUUUAAA
RNA transcript from Aphis gossypii (cotton aphid), 382 nucleotides. RefSeq lists it as uncharacterized. The transcript has 4 exons. The record is from RefSeq and is a predicted model, not a curated record. NCBI's taxonomy places the organism in Eukaryota, Metazoa, Arthropoda, Insecta, Hemiptera, Aphididae.